Molecule: ribosomal RNA, 300 nt
Filed under: Escherichia coli
Lineage: Bacteria; Pseudomonadati; Pseudomonadota; Gammaproteobacteria; Enterobacterales; Enterobacteriaceae
Also listed under: 2 other names
Description: partial 16S ribosomal RNA
Rfam family: Bacterial small subunit ribosomal RNA
Source: RNAcentral
UGCUACAAUGGCGCAUACAAAGAGAAGCGACCUCGCGAGAGCAAGCGGACCUCAUAAAGUGCGUCGUAGUCCGGAUUGGAGUCUGCAACUCGACUCCAUGAAGUCGGAAUCGCUAGUAAUCGUGGAUCAGAAUGCCACGGUGAAUACGUUCCCGGGCCUUGUACACACCGCCCGUCACACCAUGGGAGUGGGUUGCAAAAGAAGUAGGUAGCUUAACCUUCGGGAGGGCGCUUACCACUUUGUGAUUCAUGACUGGGGUGAAGUCGUAACAAGGUAACCGUAGGGGAACCUGCGGUUGGA